UUGCUUAUCUUUCCCUCAGGUUUCCUCCAAAAUAUUUUGCUCCCUUCCUUCCUCACUAUGAUGAACCUACCUUUUAGGUUCCCUAUUUCUUGGUCCCUCUUCCCGUUCAGUUUUCCAAUCCUCACUGCCCUUAUCCACACUCCCUCCUGCCUGUGAAAUUUUAAUCUCAAGCAAACUUUUACCUCCCUCAUAAAAACUAGUUUGUUUGCCAACAUUCUGUGGUUGAGUUUCAUUACCUCAGCAGUUGAAAUGCCAGUGAACAUUUGUUGACAUCAUAUGAUUGCUGCCAAGACUGCCAGCAAGAUGAUAUGACAGGGGUGUUGUUGUUAUCAGCCCCUUGCAUAAGCCUUUGCCAGUAGAGGCUGUUGCAAUAAAAGAUACUGCCCUACUUAUUCUGAAUCAUUGAAUUCCCAAGCAGAAAAACAACAGCCUACACCAAGAAAAUGAAAGUAUACUAUGGAAUAGUCAACAUGAAAAAGAAUCUUGAUAAACUCAACUCUACACGAAGUUUCUGAAAGUAAGACCCACUGAGUUCAAUGUGAUUUCCUUCCAAAUGCAGAUGCUGUUGAGGGUGUCAUCCAUCAAUGUACUGAAAAGGUCUUUGCUGCUGAACAGGAAGUCCUCCACUACUGAUCUUACUUCCUGGUGAAGUCCUGCAGUAUGAAGCCAAGCAUAGCAUCUCAAAGAAAAAGCGGCUGUAAGGUGUAUAACCCCCAUAUGUGUGAGUCACAGAGUUCACGAAGAAGAAACAAUGGUAAUCUGAAGAGGCAUAUUAAUGUGUGUGAUUGAUUGAUUGUACUUAUUUCCUCCUGCUUCAAGGGUUCACAGAGAAUUAUACCACUUGCUUACUAUACUGACAAGUCAAAUCUUAUAACAUCCUACAGUAUUUGAUACAUUUUGUAAUAUUAUCUAAUUACAUUCUGACACAAAUGUACUUCUCAUUCUUGCAUUACCUAUGUCACAAAAAUCCCUUUUAACAAUACCUAGUGGGAAGUUAUGACCAAUACUAGUUACCAAACAAUUUUUCCAUAGAACAUAUGUGUUAAUUUCUAAUAAAAUAAUUAAUCCUUUCCUUCAUCCUACCUUCUGUCAGGA
Long non-coding RNA from Elgaria multicarinata webbii, 1095 nucleotides. RefSeq lists it as uncharacterized. The transcript has 3 exons. NCBI's taxonomy places the organism in Eukaryota, Metazoa, Chordata, Lepidosauria, Squamata, Anguidae. The record is from RefSeq and is a predicted model, not a curated record.